This 329-nucleotide unclassified non-coding RNA is filed under the name soil metagenome. RNAcentral's name for it is "partial contains 5.8S ribosomal RNA, internal transcribed spacer 2, and large subunit ribosomal RNA". The stretch from base 1 to 120 matches the Rfam family "5.8S ribosomal RNA", at positions 35 to 154 of the family's 154-position model. The record is from RNAcentral.
GAUGAAGAACGCAGCGAAAUGCGAUAAGUAAUGUGAAUUGCAGAAUUUAGUGAAUCAUCGAAUCUUUGAACGCACAUUGCGCCCCUUGGUAUUCCGAGGGGCAUGCCUGUUCGAGCGUCAUUAUAACCCCUCAAGCUCAGCUUGGUGUUGGGGCCUGCUGCACUGGCAGCCCUUAAAAUCAGUGGCGGCGCCAUCUGGCUCUAAGCGUAGUAAUUCUUCUCGCUAUGGAGUCCUGGUGGAUGCUUGCCAUCAACCCCCAAUUUUUCUAUGGUUGACCUCGGAUCAGGUAGGGAUACCCGCUGAACUUAAGCAUAUCAAUAAGCGGAGGA